This 443-nucleotide ribosomal RNA is filed under the name uncultured bacterium. Its description in RNAcentral is "SSU rRNA". It matches the Rfam family "Bacterial small subunit ribosomal RNA", at positions 26 to 518 of the family's 1533-position model. The record is from RNAcentral.
AGAGCGAACGCUGGCGGCAGGCCUAACACAUGCAAGUCGAGCGCCCAGCAAGGGGAGCGGCAGACGGGAGAGUAACACGUGGGAACGUACCCUUCAGUUCGGAACAACCCAGGGAAACUUGGGCUAAUACCGGAUACGUCCGUAAGGAGAAAGAUUUAUCGCUGAAGGAUCGGCCCGCGUCUGAUUAGCUAGUUGGUGGGGUAAUGGCCCACCAAGGCGACGAUCAGUAGCUGGUCUGAGAGGAUGAUCAGCCUCAUUGGGACUGAGACACGGCCCAAACUCCUACGGGAGGCAGCAGUGGGGAAUAUUGGACAAUGGGCGCAAGCCUGAUCCAGCCAUGCCGCGUGGAUGAUGAAGGCCUUAGGGUUGUAAAGUCCUUUCGGCGGGGAAGAUAAUGACGGUACCCGCAGAAGAAGCCCGGCUAACUUCGCGCCAGCAGCCGC